Pipra filicauda (Wire-tailed manakin) is the source of this 244-nucleotide long non-coding RNA. RefSeq lists it as uncharacterized. The transcript is spliced from 2 exons. NCBI's taxonomy places the organism in Eukaryota, Metazoa, Chordata, Aves, Passeriformes, Pipridae. The record is from RefSeq and is a predicted model, not a curated record.
GGGGCUGGAGGAGCUGGAAGAGCUGAGGACACCCAGUGCCCAGCUGGAGCAAUGAUGGGCCAGCGUUAGCAUCACGGAAGGGAUUCAUGCGAGGGAUGUAGUAAUGCCUUUUCCUGCUAGAUUAAAGAGCCGUCUGCUAUCAGAAAUCUCCUCGCCGUGCAUAUGCUCGUGGACCGUGAGCAAGCCACCUCUUGGUCUCCUCAAUAAACCAAACAGCCGGAGCUUCUUCGCUCUGUCACUGUAA